AAUAUUGGACAAUGGGGGCAACCCUGAUCCAGCCAUGCCGCGUGUGUGAAGAAGGUCUUCGGAUUGUAAAGCACUUUAAGUUGGGAGGAAGGGCUUUAGGCUAAUACCCUGAAGUUUUGACGUUACCAACAGAAUAAGCACCGGCUAACUCUGUGCCAGCAGCCGCGGUAAUACAGAGGGUGCAAGCGUUAAUCGGAAUUACUGGGCGUAAAGGGGGCGAUGGUGGUUCAAGAAAGUGGGGUGAAAACCCCGGGGUUAAACUGGGAAAUGCUUUCAUAACUGCUGAGCUAGAGUACGGUAGAGGGUAGUGGGAUUUCCUGUGUAGCGGUGAAAUGCGUAGAUAUAGGAAGGAACACCAGUGGCGAAGGCGACUACCUGGACUGAUACUGACACUGAGGUGCGAAAGCGUGGGGAGCAAACA
RNAcentral lists this ribosomal RNA (421 nucleotides) under uncultured bacterium. RNAcentral describes it as "partial 16S ribosomal RNA". It matches the Rfam family "Bacterial small subunit ribosomal RNA", at positions 360 to 774 of the family's 1533-position model. The record is from RNAcentral.